AGCUUUGUAGGAUGGCCAUGUUUGGUUAAGAAGAAUGACAGAUGAGCACAGAUGUUUUGCAAAUAUUGCUGGACUCAAUUGCUUUUCCUGUACUCCAUGUGGACUUUCUGACAGUGAAAGAAGGACAUGCUUCAGGAUGUCCAAGAAAUCCCUUACUACCUGAACUCUCAUUACUCAACUAUUUAUCAAAGAAACCCCAAAAUGGAAUGCAAGUUGGUGCAGCCACUUUGGAGAACAGUGUGGAGGUUCCUUAAGAAAUGAAAAAUAGAGCUUCCCCAUGACCCUGCAAUUGCACUACUGGGUAUUUACCCCAAAGAUACAGCUGUAGUGAAAAGAAGGGCCAUCUGUACCCCAAUGUUUACAGCAGCAAUGGCCAUGGUCACCAAACUGUGGAAAGAACCAAGAUGCCCUUCAAUGGACGAAUAGAUAAGGAAGA
Mustela lutreola (European mink) is the source of this 436-nucleotide long non-coding RNA. RefSeq lists it as uncharacterized. The transcript has 3 exons. The record is from RefSeq and is a predicted model, not a curated record. Lineage: Eukaryota; Metazoa; Chordata; Mammalia; Carnivora; Mustelidae.